GCUCUGGUAGCCUAGUAGUCAGAGCGUCCACCUCAUAUGCGGAAGGUCGCGGGUUAGAACCCCAGCCGAGCA
Non-coding RNA from Potamilus streckersoni, 72 nucleotides. The record is from the annotation of a GenBank genome assembly. NCBI's taxonomy places the organism in Eukaryota, Metazoa, Mollusca, Bivalvia, Unionida, Unionidae.